Oxyura jamaicensis (ruddy duck) is the source of this 1235-nucleotide long non-coding RNA. RefSeq lists it as uncharacterized. The transcript is spliced from 3 exons. The record is from RefSeq and is a predicted model, not a curated record. Lineage: Eukaryota; Metazoa; Chordata; Aves; Anseriformes; Anatidae.
CUUUCUGUUCCCGAGCCCUAGAGGUAAAGACUGGAAGGGCUGGUGGCAUCCCAUAGGGGUAACCACCCCUAGUGGAAUGGUACUAAGGCAAGCAAGCUAAUGCUCCUAGGCAGGAGCUGGAAGCCACCCCCAGAGCACAGCGCAGGGUUUCUGAUAGCAGAAGCUGGCACCUUUUGACCCUGCAGAGAGCCUGUAUAGUGUAAUGAAUUCAAUAUUCCUCUGCCACGGAAAGCCAUCCCAAAAGAGCUUUGCUGUCAUUGUUAGGAGGAACGGCCCCGCUUGUGAGGAGCGGCUCGCAGAGCCUCCCUCCUGCUCCGGCAGACCCCCGCCGGACCCCACGCAGAUGGGUGGGUUAAAGGCCGAAGAGGAAUAACUGAUCUUUACGCGCUUCAGUCGCUGCUGUGGAGUUACGGGCACGAAUCCAUUCCCAGGAAGCCACCAGUCAGAUCUGUAAAAGGGCAAGAGAUGAAGUAUUCCCAGCAAGCACAAGUAAAUCAUGCUGGGAAGGAGACAGGAGGAGAGGGAAGGCCCCCCUGAGCCCCCAUGCAGAUGCUGCCUGCUCUGCGCCAGGGCUGGCAGGGAUGCAGGGACCAAGGCGAUGCUCGUGGCACCGUCUGUGUGCAUGCAUUGUGCCUUCAUGUGUGUAGGGUUUUGUGUUGGCCCCGUGGAAAUGGGCUUCUGUGAAGCUGGGGGUCGCUGCUCAAAUGCGUUUCCCCCCCAGCAAUCCCUCAUUGCCGGGGCUUCGGUAUUUUCUGGAAACAUGUACUGUGUCUGGCCAUUUCCCUCUGUUGAGUGGAAUCGAUGUGUGGGUUGUAAUAUGUAUUAAUUCCCUGGGGGGACAUUGAACUGUUUCCUCUGCCCAGGUGGAAAGGGAUAAACACAGCCACUGACAUGCUGUUUAGUCUGAAAAUAGCCCGCUGAAUGCAUAAUGAAGAGCCUCCCGAGGAGUUACUCUGCAUGUUAAAAUGGUGUUCAGCAGCCUGUGCUGUCACACAACAUAAUUUGAAGAUGAAUGUGCAUCCAAUCAGCCUACCGGUGGCUGACUGUCACCGUCUGGCCAUUAGCAUUACCUGCCUGUUCAGCGGCGGCGGCUCCAGGAAGCACGAAGUUUGUCGGUCCCAAAAUACGCCUCGUGUGCGGACAAGACAAAUGAGGAGCUCCGUGCUCAGCACCCGCUUCAUCCUGAGCAGCCACUUGGCUUUCGCCAGCGAGGACAAAGGAGAAUGAACGUUUUU